GCACACCAUCAACACAGUCCUGGUCCAUGCACACUUCCCAACCCCAUUAAGCAUACCCCAACGCCAUACUGCAGAGGCCCCCACCUCUCCACCAAUGCUCCUCACAGUUCACCUGGUUCUCACACAGGCCCUGCCUCACUGAGAUGGACAGACUUACCUGCCUGUGGAGGAUCAAGGCACCCAGUCAAAGCAGGCAGACAAGUAGCCUGAGGGGUUGCUGUUGGGCAGGGCCGGUCCCUAGGGUGGGCUGCCUGCCCUGCCUGAACUGGAUUAAAUCUGUGCUCUAGUGGGUGUGGCAGACCCCUGUGGUAACAGGUCAAGGGAAGAACCUCAAUGGCAUCCACCAGGGUCUGUGUCAGCAUGUCUGGACCAGGUAAGAACAAUGGCCCCCACCAAUGUCUCAGUCUCUGAAGAGAUCCCUCCUCUCACUGAGAUGCCAGGAGCCCACCAGGACCCUGGAAGCAGACUUGAAUGCCCAGGCAGACAAACGGAAGGAAAAAAAAAAAAUGUGAACAUGGAAAGAGAUGUCUGGUUGCCUCCUCCAACAUCUGUUCCAUCUCUCCUCAUCAUGUGGCAACCACAGAAUCUGCAUGAGAUUGACCUCAUUCCUCCUCCAGCGUUGUCUCUCAAGUAAACAGAUCAGCUUGGUGCUCCUUUUGCUAUAUUGACUGACCCAGGGAUGGACAGCAACGUCCAAGCAACAUAACCAUUGAGUUCUGGGUGUUCCUCUGACCGAUGUCUGGCUCUGGUUGGCCAAGUCAGAUGAAAUGCAAAACUCCUCUUUAUGGUCAAGGCUAAGCUAAAGUGCCCUGUGUGGCGUACAGAUGUGUGGCCUAGAACCCCAGCUGCUAAGCGCUUCAGGAAGCAAGCCAUACUGAGGAUGAAGAUGCG
RNAcentral lists this long non-coding RNA (891 nucleotides) under Equus asinus (donkey). RNAcentral describes it as "lncRNA (ENSEASG00005037106.1)". Lineage: Eukaryota; Metazoa; Chordata; Mammalia; Perissodactyla; Equidae. The record is from RNAcentral.